RNAcentral lists this transfer RNA (70 nucleotides) under Pleuronectes platessa (European plaice). RNAcentral describes it as "tRNA-His". It matches the Rfam family "tRNA". Rfam says of the family: Transfer RNA (tRNA) molecules are approximately 80 nucleotides in length. Lineage: Eukaryota; Metazoa; Chordata; Actinopteri; Pleuronectiformes; Pleuronectidae. The record is from RNAcentral.
GCCGUAAUCGUAGAUGUUGGUACUCUGCGUUGUGGCCGCAGCAACCCCGGUUCGAAUCCGGGUCACGGCA